Molecule: ribosomal RNA, 253 nt
Filed under: uncultured bacterium
Lineage: Bacteria
Description: partial 16S ribosomal RNA
Rfam family: Bacterial small subunit ribosomal RNA
Source: RNAcentral
UACAGAGGGUGCAAGCGUUGUUCGGAAUUAUUGGGCGUAAAGCGCACGUAGGCGGUUUGUUAAGUCGGAUGUGAAAUCCCUCGGCUCAACUGAGGAAGUGCAUCCGAAACUGGCAAGCUUGAGUACGAAAGAGGGUCGCGGAAUUCCCGGUGUAGAGGUGAAAUUCGUAGAUAUCAGGAGGAACACCGGUGGCGAAGGCGGCGACCUGGGUCGAUACUGACGCUGAGGUGCGAAAGCGUGGGGAGCAAACAGG